ACCAACAGGGAUUGCCUCAGUAACGGCGAGUGAAGCGGCAACAGCUCAAAUUUGAAAUCUGGCGGCCUCUGGGCCGUCCGAGUUGUAAUUUGAAGAGGAUGCUUUUGGCGAGGCGCCUUCCGAGUGCCCUGGAACGGGACGCCACAGAGGGUGAGAGCCCCGUAUGGUUGGACGCCGAGCCUCUGUAAAGCUCCUUCGACGAGUCGAGUAGUUUGGGAAUGCUGCUCAAAAUGGGAGGUAAACCCCUUCUAAAGCUAAAUACUGGCCAGAGACCGAUAGCGCACAAGUAGAGUGAUCGAAAGAUGAAAAGCACUUUGAAAAGAGAGUUAAAUAGCACGUGAAAUUGUUGAAAGGGAAGCGCUUGCGACCAGACUUGUGCCCGUCGAAUCAGCCGCCGCUCGCCGGCGGCGCACUUCGGCGGGCUCAGGCCAGCAUCAGUUCGCUGCAGGGGGAGAAAGGCGGCGGGAAUGUGGCUCUUCGGAGUGUUAUAGCCCGCCGCGCAAUACCCCUCGGCGGACUGAGGACCGCGCAUCUGCAAGGAUGCUGGCGU
This 550-nucleotide ribosomal RNA is filed under the name Scedosporium apiospermum. RNAcentral's name for it is "eukaryotic LSU rRNA". It matches the Rfam family "Eukaryotic large subunit ribosomal RNA", at positions 64 to 632 of the family's 3401-position model. The record is from RNAcentral. Lineage: Eukaryota; Fungi; Ascomycota; Sordariomycetes; Microascales; Microascaceae.